GGCUGGAUGGGACCCGGGGGAGGCGGCAGCAGCCCCGCGGGCUCAGCCGUGGGCACUGGACUCAGCCCUGCCUUCCUUUGAUGAAGAACGGGGGAUUCUGCCGAGCAGCGGAGCCGCGUGUGUGAACUCGCAGCUGGAUUGCGUUUUUGCUGCCCUGAAAGCAACGUGAUGACUGAAUUCCAGAGUAAGAAAACAGAUUGGGAAACAGGAGAUUGCUCAAUGCACCUGCUGGAUGAAGUUUCACUUCAGCACAGAUGUUCAGAGCUGGGUUUCAUGCAGUAACGAUCUGUUCACAUCAUUUUCCUUUUUGCACCAAAACCACGAACUGAGGAGCUGGAGCCAGCAGCAGCUGGCAGAGCUGGGCUGUGCCAGCACCAGGGCCCCGUGCCACCCACAGCCGGGACCAGAGCGGGGUGAUCGCCAUCCCUGCGCCACAGGAAAACGGAGCUGCCUUGGCUUUGCCACUUCUGAGCGCUGCUGGACACGUUGUUUUCCCUCAGCAGCCAAAUGUGGGGAUAAAUGAAAUGCUGGUGUCACCCCGAGCACGGGGGCAAAGGGAGCGCAGGGGAGUGGGUGCUGGGCCGGCAGGAAUGGGGUGUCCAGGGGUGCUGAGCUGGGAAAUGGUGCUGGCUGGCAAAGGCCAGUGCAUCCUGGGGGGUCACAGGAGACACCCGGAAUCCCCCCGGAAAAAAACUGCCCUGUGGUGUUUCCUUUUAUCAAUUAAAGCUGUGGUGUUGUGAUCAAAAAGUUUGAUUAUCAGUGAUUUGUGGGAAACCGACGGAGGAACUGCAACACGUGGCAACAGGGCUCCCUCUAAUGUCAGCCACUGCCUGGCUGCACCCUGCUCCCUGCUGCCCCUUUCCCUGCACCUCCCUCCCAGUUCUUUAUUCCCUGCUGCCCCUUUCCCUGCACCUCCCUCCCAGUUCUUUAUUCCCUGCUGCCCCAUUCCCUGCACCUCCAGGUUUCUGCUCCCCAUUUUUUGCCACCCCCAGUUCCAUGCUCCCUUUAUUCCCUUCACUCUGAAUUCCCUGUGCCCCCAUUCCCAC
Molecule: long non-coding RNA, 1046 nt
Organism: Prinia subflava (tawny-flanked prinia)
Lineage: Eukaryota; Metazoa; Chordata; Aves; Passeriformes; Cisticolidae
Exons: 3
Source: RefSeq, a predicted model, not a curated record